This is a long non-coding RNA of Musa acuminata AAA Group (dessert banana), 679 nucleotides long. RefSeq lists it as uncharacterized. The record is from RefSeq and is a predicted model, not a curated record. NCBI's taxonomy places the organism in Eukaryota, Viridiplantae, Streptophyta, Magnoliopsida, Zingiberales, Musaceae. The transcript is spliced from 2 exons.
UGGGGAAAGUAGCAGGAGCCCUGCUUACUCUCUCUCUCUCUUUCUGUCUCUCAUUCGUGAUAUGCAUGCAGGGGGAACCAGAGAUCAAGGUGGGGACGUGGGGUGUGGAUGGAGGGUCCCGCUGGGACAUGGGGCGCGCCGACUGCAUCAAGUCAAUCAGGAUUCGCGCCGGGGGUGUUGUCGACUCCAUAGCCUUCACGUACGUGAUUGGAGAGACGACCAAACAGACUCACCCAUAUGGAGGCCCCGGCGGUACAUCCAACGAGAUCAAAAUUUCUGACGAGGAAUACCUCACCUCAAUCUCGGGAUACAUCGGAGAGUGCGGUGGAACUCCUUGCAUAUCUCAGCUCACAUUUGCCACGAAUCAAGAAAAUUACGGACCGUACGGAAGUGGCGGCGGAACUCCUUUCAACCUUCCUGUGGAAGAGGGUAAGAUCGCGCGCUUCUACGGACGUGCAGGUCCCUAUCUUACUGCCAUUGGCGUCUACUUGAAGCCAAACUAGUAGCAGCUCAAUGGAGUGCAAUUGAAGCUGUCUAUUACUUGGGUGAUCCAAUAAAUAAAGGAUGUCAUAUACUACCGUUGACAUCUCUCGAUGUUUGUCUUAUGUUUAAGUUGUGUGCCUAAGUAUGUCGUUGUGAUCCUACAAAUAAAAUGGGUUGUGCUUAUUAUGUGACUCAA